Molecule: long non-coding RNA, 1710 nt
Filed under: Rattus norvegicus (Norway rat)
Lineage: Eukaryota; Metazoa; Chordata; Mammalia; Rodentia; Muridae
Description: long non-coding RNA NONRATT028801
Source: RNAcentral
UCCAGAUGGCGAUGGCGUUGGAAGCAGCUACAUCGAAGAUAAUGAGGACGCCAGCAAGAUGGCCGAUCUCCUGUCGUACUUCCAGCAGCAGCUCACAUUUCAGGAGUCUGUGCUCAAACUCUGUCAGCCUGAGCUUGAGACCAGUCAGACUCACAUAUCAGUCCUGCCUAUGGAGGUGCUGAUGUACAUCUUCCGAUGGGUGGUGUCAAGUGACUUGGACCUCAGAUCGUUAGAGCAGUUGUCACUGGUGUGCAGAGGAUUCUAUAUCUGUGCCAGACCCUGAAAUAUGGCGUCUGGCUUGCUUGAAAGUGUGGGGCAGAAGCUGUAUGAAACUUGUCCCAUUCUCAUCCUGGAGAGAGAUGUUUCUAGAACGGCCUCGUGUUCGGUUUGACGGCGUGUACAUCAGUAAAACCACAUAUAUUCGCCAGGGAGAGCAGUCUCUUGAUGGUUUCUAUAGAGCCUGGCACCAAGUGGAAUAUUACAGAUACAUAAGAUUCUUUCCUGAUGGCCAUGUGAUGAUGUUGACAACCCCUGAGGAGCCUCCAUCCAUUGUUCCCCGUUUAAGAACCAGGAACACCAGAACGGAUGCAAUUCUGCUGGGUCAUUAUCGCUUGUCACAAGAUGCAGACAAUCAGACCAAAGUAUUUGCUGUGAUAACUAAGAAAAAAGAAGAAAAGCCACUUGACCAUAAGUACAGGUAUUUUCGCCGUGUUCCUGUCCAAGAGGCAGAUCACAACUUUCAUGUGGGGCUGCAGCUGUGCUCCAGUGGCCACCAGAGGUUCAACAAACUCAUCUGGAUCCACCACUCUUGUCACAUCACUUACAGGUAGGUGACUGCAGUGAAGACUGACAGUUGACCUUCCGGGGGACCCAGGUCCAGUUUUCGGCACCCAUAUGUUAGCUUACAGGCGUCUGGAACCCCAGUUCCAGGGUCUCUCAUGCUUUCUUCUGGCCCUCACAGGCACAAGGCACACAUGUGGUGUACAGACACGGUGUAGGCAAAAUAAUCAUGUACAAUUUUAAAAGAAAAAUUCAAAAAAAUUUACGCGAGACUAGCAUCAAAGUAGACUUUCUGUCUGGCUUGAGAAGCCCGGUAUGUUUGGAAUUCUUCAGUGUCUUUUUACUAAGUACAACUACAGUGUAAAACUAUAAAGAACACCCCCCACCCCCCAAAAAAAUAUAAAGAUUGAGCAUCAGGGGAGGUGGAGCCUUGGCUGCCCUGCCCAGUCACACCUCAGACAGGGAAGUGAAGCGUGCACGCUGGAGUGAGGGAGCCGACGGCUCACACCCACUCAGAAGCGAAGGGAGUGUGCGCCCACCUAGGGCUGAGCUCUCUGUAGGCCAGAGGUUCAUUCUCAGGAAUUAUACAAUGAUUCUAAAAAUUAUACUUACAAAAGUAGUCUGUCAUUAAAAUGGUGCUCUGUGUAUCCCAAGGCCAAAUGUAUCAGGUAGGUGAUACCCGUGUAAAAGUCUUAAUUCUGUUUGGUAAGGUUUAUUCUGUAUUAGGUAAUUAAGAGCAUCAAAAAGGAGCAGUACAGAAAUAAGAAAGAGUUUAGAAGGCAGCAGAGAAGGGAAACGCUAGGUCAUGUGACUGCCAGUUAGCAGGUGGGGAGCUUGAAGGAAGAAUGGUGUUCUGGGCUCUCCAUGCAGGUUGAAUCCAGAGUUCUGAGAGGGCAGCUUUGAAGCAGGCUCCCGAUCCGCUCUCAGUCC